This 82-nucleotide transfer RNA is filed under the name Trichobilharzia regenti. It matches the Rfam family "tRNA". Rfam says of the family: Transfer RNA (tRNA) molecules are approximately 80 nucleotides in length. Their secondary structure includes four short double-helical elements and three loops (D, anti-codon, and T loops). Further hydrogen bonds mediate the characteristic L-shaped molecular structure. tRNAs have two regions of fundamental functional importance: the anti-codon, which is responsible for specific mRNA codon recognition, and the 3' end, to which the tRNAs corresponding amino acid is attached (by aminoacyl-tRNA synthetases). tRNAs cope with the degeneracy of the genetic code in two manners: having more than one tRNA (with a specific anti-codon) for a particular amino acid; and 'wobble' base-pairing, i.e. permitting non-standard base-pairing at the 3rd anti-codon position. The record is from Rfam by way of RNAcentral. Lineage: Eukaryota; Metazoa; Platyhelminthes; Trematoda; Strigeidida; Schistosomatidae.
GUCGCGAUGGCCAAGUGGUUAGGGCGUUGGACUCGAAAUCCAAUGGGGUGUCCCCGCGCAGGUUCGAGUCCUGCUCGCGACU